GACAUUUUACCAUAAAAAGAAAAAGAAAAAAAAAAGUGUUUAUGACAAGUAGCAACAAGCAUGUGUUUGAAGAUAGCAUGAGCAUAUAGAAAUAUACGAUGGACCCAUUAGAAACGUGAUUGACGGCUAAAUAUGGGCCAGAAAUGAAGUCGUAAUGCAAAACCCAUUACAAAUGGCCGAAAGAAAAACAAAACAAAAGUAAAAGAAUCAUAACCUAUAAUAUCAUAGCCACUCCCUAUAGCAUCUUUGUGAUGUUCCACGUGUUGA
Molecule: long non-coding RNA, 267 nt
Filed under: Lathyrus oleraceus (garden pea)
Lineage: Eukaryota; Viridiplantae; Streptophyta; Magnoliopsida; Fabales; Fabaceae
Description: Pisum sativum (pea) long non-coding RNA (PSAT_LNC004654)
Source: RNAcentral